Molecule: transfer RNA, 87 nt
Filed under: Actinomadura livida
Lineage: Bacteria; Bacillati; Actinomycetota; Actinomycetes; Streptosporangiales; Thermomonosporaceae
Description: tRNA-Ala
Source: RNAcentral
CGGGCCGUGGCGGACGUGCACGCGGCGCUGGCGCCGUUGCGGGCCGCGGCGGCGCGGGAGCAGCUCGGUUCGAUACCGCCGGCCCGG